UGUAAGCGUAUACCAAAGUUGUUGCAGUUAAAACGCUCGUAGUCGGAAUUUGGCAGUUCCGGAUGUGUGCACGUCGUGUGCGCACUUCGCGGGGAUUGCUUUUGUGGUCUUGCGUAGGAUGAGGCACUUUUAUUAGUGAACGUCCUCACGCAACCACUUUUUACUGUGAGAAAAUCAGAGUGCUCAAAGCAGGCAUUUGCCGUGAACGUAUUAGCAUGGAAUAAUAGAAUAGGACUUGGUUCUAUUUUGUUGGUUUGUUGGGACUGAGUAAUGAUUAAGAGGGACAGUUGGGGGCAUUUGUAUUUCGGUGCUAGAGGUGAAAUUCUUAGAUUACCGAAAGACAAACUGCUGCGAAAGCGUCUGCCAAGGAUGUUUUCAUUGA
Molecule: ribosomal RNA, 382 nt
Filed under: uncultured eukaryote
Lineage: Eukaryota
Description: partial 18S ribosomal RNA
Rfam family: Eukaryotic small subunit ribosomal RNA
Source: RNAcentral